RNAcentral lists this unclassified non-coding RNA (240 nucleotides) under soil metagenome. Its description in RNAcentral is "partial contains 5.8S ribosomal RNA, internal transcribed spacer 2, and large subunit ribosomal RNA". The record is from RNAcentral.
AACCAUAGAAACCUGCGGAGUACCUGCGGAAGGAUCAUUACACAAUACAAUAUGAAGGCUGUCCGCAGCUGGAGUAUUUUAUUACCCUUGUCUUUUGCGCACUUGUUGUUUCCUGGGCGGGUUCGCUCGCCACCAGGACCACCAAAUAAACCUUUUUUAUGCAGUUGCAAUCAGCGUCAGUACAAACAAUGUAGAUCAUUUACAACUUUUAACAAUGGAUCUCAGAUCGGAAGAGCACAC